Molecule: ribosomal RNA, 429 nt
Filed under: Pseudomonadota bacterium
Lineage: Bacteria; Pseudomonadati; Pseudomonadota
Description: Proteobacteria bacterium partial 16S ribosomal RNA
Rfam family: Bacterial small subunit ribosomal RNA
Source: RNAcentral
UGGGGAAUAUUGGACAAUGGGCGAAAGCCUGAUCCAGCCAUGCCGCGUGUGUGAAGAAGGUCUUCGGAUUGUAAAGCACUUUAAGUUGGGAGGAAGGGCAGUAAGCGAAUACCUUGCUGUUUUGACGUUACCGACAGAAUAAGCACCGGCUAACUCUGUGCCAGCAGCCGCGGUAAUACAGUGGGUGCAAGCGUUAAUCGGAAUUACUGGGCGUAAAGCGCGCGUAGGUGGUUCGUUAAGUUGAAUGUGAAAGCCCCGGGCUCAACCUGAGAACUGCAUCCAAAACUGGCGAGCUAGAGUAGGGCAGAGGGGGGUGAAAAUUCCUGUGUAGCGGUGAAAUGCGUAGAUAUAGGAAGGAACACCAGGGGGGAAGGCGACCACCUGGGGUCAUACUGACACUGAGGUGCGAAAGCGUGGGGAGCAAACAGG